This 234-nucleotide long non-coding RNA is filed under the name Oryza brachyantha (malo sina). Its description in RNAcentral is "long non-coding RNA (OBRA_LNC001261)". Lineage: Eukaryota; Viridiplantae; Streptophyta; Magnoliopsida; Poales; Poaceae. The record is from RNAcentral.
GCCCAUAGAUUGUGUCAUCAGUCAUCACCCACAUCGCUCGCGCCCCCAUUAAAAAAAAACCCUCCUCCCCCUCCGGGCGGAGCUCCCGAAGCUCUCCCCUCUCGCGCGGCCCCCACCCACCCCUCGCAACCAUCACCGCUGCCCACCGUUCCCAUCGCCGCCGCCGUCCCGCUCCCGCGCCUAUAUCAUCGCCAUCUCUCUCCCUCCCCUCGCGUCCAUGCCCCUCCGCUCGCC